GCAGUGGGGAAUAUUGGACAAUGGGGGCAACCCUGAUCCAGCCAUGCCGCGUGUGUGAAGAAGGCCUUUUGGUUGUAAAGCACUUUAAGCAGGGAGGAGAGGCUAAUGGUUAAUACCCAUUAGAUUAGACGUUACCUGCAGAAUAAGCACCGGCUAACUCUGUGCCAGCAGCCGCGGUAAUACAGAGGGUGCGAGCGUUAAUCGGAAUUACUGGGCGUAAAGCGAGUGUAGGUGGCUCAUUAAGUCACAUGUGAAAUCCCCGGGCUUAACCUGGGAACUGCAUGUGAUACUGGUGGUGCUAGAAUAUGUGAGAGGGAAGUAGAAUUCCAGGUGUAGCGGUGAAAUGCGUAGAGAUCUGGAGGAAUACCGAUGGCGAAGGCAGCUUCCUGGCAUAAUAUUGACACUGAGAUUCGAAAGCGUGGGUAGCAAACAGGAUUAGAUACCCUGGUAGUCCACGCCGUAAACGAUGUCUACUAGCCGUUGGGGUCCUUGAGACUUUAGUGGCGCAG
RNAcentral lists this ribosomal RNA (509 nucleotides) under uncultured Moraxella sp. RNAcentral describes it as "bacterial SSU rRNA". It matches the Rfam family "Bacterial small subunit ribosomal RNA", at positions 351 to 851 of the family's 1533-position model. Lineage: Bacteria; Pseudomonadati; Pseudomonadota; Gammaproteobacteria; Moraxellales; Moraxellaceae. The record is from RNAcentral.